ACAUUCUACAGUAGGUAAUUCCUCCUCAAAUCCCGUUCACAUGCUGAGGUUUCCAGCGAAGUUUAGAGGGUGCGCCCAUUCCAAACUAGGCUCACUCUGGUCCUGAUGCUGAGCCAUGGGCACCUACCUAGUUGAUAUUCACAUCGCGGUUUCCAUGCGCUGCUUUCAAACCCUUCUUCACAUCUGGCUUAGUUUGCGCAUGUCAAUGGAGUUGAUAUUACUGGAUACGACCAGAGGGGACGCUGUUGAUCAGGAUAUAGGGGGCCACUGUCUGGCAGGGGCACUGAUGCAGGCAGUUGAACUUCUAUCAGUUUCUAAACCAUACCGUCUUUGGUUCCAUUCUCGUGUGGAUAGCUAAGUGAGUAUUCCAGUCUAAGGUUCUUCAGAGGCUGUACCUUACCUCCCAGGCCUGCGAAAGAAUCCAGCGCUCCAUCGCCUGAGACCUCUGAAACAAAAAGUAGGCCUAGAGGAGGAGGCCACUAUCACUGCUGCCCAUAUGGUAGCUGCUUUCCCUUCAGACCGUUGAGAACACUCAUGAGUCCAACAAAGAUGAAGAGGUAGAAGGAGACAAUGGGGGAAGAAGGAGAAAUGGGAACUAUAGCUCCAGGAGGUGGGACAGUGGUGGCCCGGGUGGACAGAGCGGGCCAGGUUACAGAAUCCAACCCUGGGGACCCCCAUGGAGGAAGGAGUCUGGCUCAACAAGAAGAAGAAGAGGAGGAAGCUGAAGAAGAAACAUCAUAAACAGAAGCUCUUGUAUCUAGGUCUGGUGCCCCGUGCUGCAGCUCAAGUUCACCUACGAGAGCGAGGAGGAUGGGAGGGGGGGAGGAAGAGAUGAGGCAGAGAAGAGCAGCUGAAGUGAUAAUCUUCCUCAGGACCACACAAGAUCUACGUGUCUGAUUGUGAGUGUGACAUACCAAGGCUGCUAAUCAACACAGAUACGGUCACAUAUAGCCUAGGCUGUGUUUCAGUCUUCCUAAGAGCUGACCAAAAGUGCUGAAGCAUAGUUCAUUUUAUAGCUUUCGGAUUGGCAGAAAAUAAAUAAUUUGAACAGCACUGUGCAGAGCACACGCAAAUGAAAGUGAAAGCACAGCUCAUUAAUCACUAGCCUAUAACAACUUGAGGACCUUGAGAGAUUUAGGAAUCGAGGUGUAGAGGUGCAUUGAGGUGUUUGGGUUUACUUCAUCAUGCUCAAAUGUAAUGGACAGGCUCAGUCAUCUGGUCUGUCAUAAUCCCUCCAUGACUUGCCUCUGGAGGACUAGACAGACAGUCAGUCCAAAGAAUCCCAUUGGUUCCAGGGAUUAAGGUUUCUCUGUUGGUGAAUUACUGCAGAAGGCUAAGAAGGAAGACCUCUGGAAAUGUCCACAGUAGUUCAGUUAAAGGGGCUACAUGCUCCUGUUCCUUAUAUGCUCCUCAGUCUAGAGAUAGACCAGGGGAUUAAACACAGGCCCGUUCAGCAACGGAGCUUAUAAUGGUUGGUGGAGUAAUAGUAUACUUAAUCCACUACCAAGCAGGUUCAUCUGGUAGUGGAGGGUCUUCUGACCAGCCUGUACAAUGGAACAUUCCUCCCCUGCUGUUUUGGCCCAGCUCCACAGCCUCUAGUCCCUGGUGCAGCAACAGGACACAGCAAGGAUGGCAAAGAAUCUGCAGGAGCUCCAGAACAGCUCUACCAUGUCUACUGCGUUUGUCUCUUCUCUUUCCAGGUGAUGCCACUGCAGUUGUGUCCCUGUUUCAGUACUGGAUCACAGACAAUCCCGCCCAUGCCGAGAGAAUGGAAAACAGGCCAACCUACAACAUAACCUUCCUAGUCGAGCCAACCAACAACACAGCCUUAGACUUUCCUAGAUGUUCAGGGUUUUAAACAACACUGCUGACGGAAAACUUGUCUGACUUAAUUCAUUGUGAGCCCAUGUAACAGAGUUAAGUACAUACCGUAAGCUCACUCCACAGCUAGCUUGAAAUGUCGCGGAUGGAGCCAUCCAAUCGGUACCUUUUGGGUGGCUCAAACCGUUGGAAUGUUGUCAAGGAGGGCGGCCACGUGUGUUUACAAAGCAGAGGUCCCGAGUUUGAGCCGGGUACGAGCCGAAUCAGGGGGAAGUGAUACCAGACACAAUUAAUUAACCGUUUAAUAGAUUUUCCCCACAGAAAAGUGUGGCGAGCGAGCGUAUAAAAACAUUAAGUGGAUAAGGAAUAACAGUACUUUACCACAUUGUCCUAUGCACCUGUGCGGGCUCUAGGUCUAGUGUGAGCUUCAAGAGUUAUAUUAUUCCAUGUGAAAACCUACACUAUUUUUCUGUUACAAUGUUGUUAUAACCAUGAGAAAUGAAACAGACUAAAGUAUAGCUUGUGACAGUUUCGUUAUUCCUGAUAAAAAAAAAACGUCUCUCUGAUACACACAACCGUUCAAAAGUUUAGGGUCACUUAGAAAUGUCCUUGUUUUUGAAAGAAAAGAGAAGAGAAAAAAAAGUCCAUUAAAAUAACAUCCAAUUGAUCAGAAAUACAGUGUAGACAUUGUUAUAAAUGACUUCUUUUUUUAAUGGAAUAUCUACAUAGCCGUACAGAGGCCCAUUAUCAGCAACCAUCACUCCUGUGUUAGCUAAUCUUAAAUGUAUCCUUUUAAAAGGCUAAUUGAUCAUUAGAAAACACUUUUGCAAUUAUGUUAGCACAGCUGAAAACUGUUGUUCUGAUUAAAGAAGCAGUAAAACCGGC
This 2706-nucleotide long non-coding RNA is filed under the name Salmo salar (Atlantic salmon). Its description in RNAcentral is "lncRNA (ENSSSAG00000082279.1)". The record is from RNAcentral. Lineage: Eukaryota; Metazoa; Chordata; Actinopteri; Salmoniformes; Salmonidae.